CAGGCUUAACACAUGCAAGUCGAGGGGCAGCAUGGUCUUAGCUUGCUAAGGCCGAUGGCGACCGGCGCACGGGUGAGUAACACGUAUCCAACCUGCCGUCUACUCUUGGACAGCCUUCUGAAAGGAAGAUUAAUACAAGAUGGCAUCAUGAGUCCACAUGUUCACAUGAUUAAAGGUAUUCCGGUAGACGAUGGGGAUGCGUUCCAUUAGAUAGUAGGCGGGGUAACGGCCCACCUAGUCUUCGAUGGAUAGGGGUUCUGAGAGGAAGGUCCCCCACAUUGGAACUGAGACACGGUCCAAACUCCUACGGGAGGCAGCAGUGAGGAAUAUUGGUCAAUGGGCGAGAGCCUGAACCAGCCAAGUAGCGUGAAGGAUGACUGCCCUAUGGGUUGUAAACUUCUUUUAUAAAGGAAUAAAGUCGGGUAUGCAUACCCGUUUGCAUGUACUUUAUGAAUAAGGAUCGGCUAACUCCGUGCCAGCAGCCGCGGUAAUACGGAGGAUCCGAGCGUUAUCCGGAUUUAUUGGGUUUAAAGGGAGCGUAGAUGGAUGUUUAAGUCAGUUGUGAAAGUUUGCGGCUCAACCGUAAAAUUGCAGUUGAUACUGGAUAUCUUGAGUGCAGUUGAGGCAGGCGGAAUUCGUGGUGUAGCGGUGAAAUGCUUAGAUAUCACGAAGAACUCCGAUUGCGAAGGCAGCCUGCUAAGCUGCAACUGACAUUGAGGCUCGAAAGUGUGGGUAUCAAACAGGAUUAGAUACCCUGGUAGUCCACACGGUAAACGAUGAAUACUCGCUGUUUGCGAUAUACAGCAAGCGGCCAAGCGAAAGCGUUAAGUAUUCCACCUGGGGAGUACGCCGGCAACGGUGAAACUCAAAGGAAUUGACGGGGGCCCGCACAAGCGGAGGAACAUGUGGUUUAAUUCGAUGAUACGCGAGGAACCUUACCCGGGCUUAAAUUGCAGAUGAAUUACGGUGAAAGCCGUAAGCCGCAAGGCAUCUGUGAAGGUGCUGCAUGGUUGUCGUCAGCUCGUGCCGUGAGGUGUCGGCUUAAGUGCCAUAACGAGCGCAACCCUUGUUGUCAGUUACUAACAGGUUCUGCUGAGGACUCUGACAAGACUGCCAUCGUAAGAUGUGAGGAAGGUGGGGAUGACGUCAAAUCAGCACGGCCCUUACGUCCGGGGCUACACACGUGUUACAAUGGGGGGUACAGAGAGCCGCUACCACGCGAGUGGAUGCCAAUCCCAAAAACCUCUCUCAGUUCGGACUGGAGUCUGCAACCCGACUCCACGAAGCUGGAUUCGCUAGUAAUCGCGCAUCAGCCACGGCGCGGUGAAUACGUUCCCGGGCCUUGUACACACCGCCCGUCAAGCCAUGGGAGCCGGGGGUACCUGAAGUGCGUAACCGCGAGGAGCGCCCUAGGGUAAAACUGGUGACUGGGGCUA
Molecule: ribosomal RNA, 1436 nt
Filed under: uncultured organism
Description: 16S ribosomal RNA
Rfam family: Bacterial small subunit ribosomal RNA
Source: RNAcentral